GAUUUCAGGGACAAAUAUGCCAGCAGUAUGUUUGUUUCAUCAAGCAACAGCCCUCUCAGGCACGUGAGGAUGGAACUAUGUGUCUAUUUUAUAGGUGAUUAAUACCCUUAAAGUAGCACAACGUCUGCUGAAAGCACUGGGGCCCAUCGGAGCAGGUAAACGGCUGGGAAUCACAAUCUGCAAGCCCAGCUUCAUCACCAAGAAGAAGGUGACCUUCCUGUGGAAGCAUUGCCAGCGGCCAGGAAGCUUGGAGCUCACCUGAGAGAGCAUAGUCACCUCAGGUCUCCUGAAGCUGUGUCACUGAAGCAUAUAACUACUGCAAAGAUAACAGCUGCCGAACUUAAAUUAUCACCACAUUCGCACUGUGGACGGACUACCCAUCAUGGAC
This is a long non-coding RNA of Paramormyrops kingsleyae, 388 nucleotides long. RefSeq lists it as uncharacterized. The record is from RefSeq and is a predicted model, not a curated record. NCBI's taxonomy places the organism in Eukaryota, Metazoa, Chordata, Actinopteri, Osteoglossiformes, Mormyridae.